RNAcentral lists this ribosomal RNA (608 nucleotides) under uncultured bacterium. RNAcentral's name for it is "bacterial SSU rRNA". It matches the Rfam family "Bacterial small subunit ribosomal RNA", at positions 329 to 929 of the family's 1533-position model. The record is from RNAcentral.
UUCCAGACUCCUACGGGAGGCAGCAGUAGGGAAUCUUCGGCAAUGGACGGAAGUCUGACCGAGCAACGCCGCGUGAGUGAAGAAGGUUUUCGGAUCGUAAAACUCUGUUGGUAGAGAAGAACGUUGGUGAGAGUGGAAAGCUCAUCAAGUGACGGUAACUACCCAGAAAGGGACGGCUAACUACGUGCCAGCAGCCGCGGUAAUACGUAGGUCCCGAGCGUUGUCCGGAUUUAUUGGGCGUAAAGCGAGCGCAGGUGGUUUAUUAAGUCUGGUGUAAAAGGCAGUGGCUCAACCAUUGUAUGCAUUGGAAACUGGUAGACUUGAGUGCAGGAGAGGAGAGUGGAAUUCCAUGUGUAGCGGGGAAAUGCGUAGAUAUAUGGAGGAACACCGGUGGCGAAAGCGGCUCUCUGGCCUGUAACUGACACUGAGGCUCGAAAGCGUGGGGAGCAAACAGGAUUAGAUACCCUGGUAGUCCACGCCGUAAACGAUGAGUGCUAGAUGUAGGGAGCUAUAAGUUCUCUGUAUCGCAGCUAACGCAAUAAGCACUCCGCCUGGGGAGUACGACCGCAAGGUUGAAACUCAAAGGAAUUGACGGGGGCCCGCACAAG